This 472-nucleotide ribosomal RNA is filed under the name uncultured bacterium. RNAcentral's name for it is "bacterial SSU rRNA". It matches the Rfam family "Bacterial small subunit ribosomal RNA", at positions 30 to 506 of the family's 1533-position model. The record is from RNAcentral.
AUUGAACGCUGGCGGCAGGCCUAACACAUGCAAGUCGAGCGGGGUUUUCGGACCUAGCGGCGGACGGGUGAGUAAUGCGUAGGAAGCUACCCGAUAGAGGGGGAUACCAGUUGGAAACGACUGUUAAUACCGCAUAAUGUCUACGGACCAAAGUGUGGGACCUUCGGGCCACAUGCUAUCGGAUGCGCCUACGUGGGAUUAGCUAGUUGGUGGGGUAAUGGCUCACCAAGGCGACGAUCGGUAGCUGGUCUGAGAGGAUGAUCAGCCACACUGGAACUGAGACACGGUCCAGACUCCUACGGAGGCAGCAGUGGGAAUAUUGGACAAUGGGCGCAAGCCUGAUCCAGCCAUGCCGCGUGCAGGACGAAGGCCUUCGGGUUGUAAACUAGCUUUGUUACAGAACGAAAAGGACGUCUGGUUAAUACCUGGGCGUCAUGACGGUACUGUAAGAAUAAGCACCGGCUAACUACGU